UAGCUUGCUACCUGACCUAGCGGCGGACGGGUGAGUAAUGCUUAGGAAUCUGCCUAUUAGUGGGGGACAACAUUCCGAAAGGAAUGCUAAUACCGCAUACGCCCUACGGGGGAAAGCAGGGGAUCUUCGGACCUUGCGCUAAUAGAUGAGCCUAAGUCAGAUUAGCUAGUUGGUGGGGUAAAGGCCUACCAAGGCGACGAUCUGUAGCGGGUCUGAGAGGAUGAUCCGCCACACUGGGACUGAGACACGGCCCAGACUCCUACGGGAGGCAGCAGUGGGGAAUAUUGGACAAUGGGCGAAAGCCUGAUCCAGCCAUGCCGCGUGUGUGAAGAAGGCCUUUUGGUUGUAAAGCACUUUAAGCGAGGAGGAGGCUACUUGGAUUAAUACUCUAGGAUAGUGGACGUUACUCGCAGAAUAAGCACCGGCUAACUCUGUGCCAGCAGCCGCGGUAAUACAGAGGGUGCGAGCGUUAAUCGGAUUUACUGGGCGUAAAGCGUGCGUAGGCGGCUUUUUAAGUCGGAUGUGAAAUCCCUGAGCUUAACUUAGGAAUUGCAUUCGAUACUGGGAAGCUAGAGUAUGGGAGAGGAUGGUAGAAUUCCAGGUGUAGCGGUGAAAUGCGUAGAGAUCUGGAGGAAUACCGAUGGCGAAGGCAGCCAUCUGGCCUAAUACUGACGCUGANGUACGAAAGCAUGGGGAGCAAACAGGAUUAGAUACCCUGGUAGUCCAUGCCGUAAACGAUGUCUACUAGCCGUUGGGGCCUUUGAGGCUUUAGUGGCGCAGCUAACGCGAUAAGUAGACCGCCUGGGGAGUACGGUCGCAAGACUAAAACUCAAAUGAAUUGACGGGGGCCCGCACAAGCGGUGGAGCAUGUGGUUUAAUUCGAUGCAACGCGAAGAACCUUACCUGGUCUUGACAUAGUAAGAACUUUCCAGAGAUGGAUUGGUGCCUUCGGGAACUUACAUACAGGUGCUGCAUGGCUGUCGUCAGCUCGUGUCGUGAGAUGUUGGGUUAAGUCCCGCAACGAGCGCAACCCUUUUCCUUAUUUGCCAGCGGGUUAAGCCGGGAACUUUAAGGAUACUGCCAGUGACAAACUGGAGGAAGGCGGGGACGACGUCAAGUCAUCAUGGCCCUUACGACCAGGGCUACACACGUGCUACAAUGGUCGGUACAAAGGGUUGCUACCUAGCGAUAGGAUGCUAAUCUCAAAAAGCCGAUCGUAGUCCGGAUUGGAGUCUGCAACUCGACUCCAUGAAGUCG
Molecule: ribosomal RNA, 1257 nt
Filed under: uncultured Acinetobacter sp.
Lineage: Bacteria; Pseudomonadati; Pseudomonadota; Gammaproteobacteria; Moraxellales; Moraxellaceae
Description: bacterial SSU rRNA
Rfam family: Bacterial small subunit ribosomal RNA
Source: RNAcentral